This 119-nucleotide ribosomal RNA is filed under the name Hucho hucho (huchen). The record is from RNAcentral. Lineage: Eukaryota; Metazoa; Chordata; Actinopteri; Salmoniformes; Salmonidae.
ACUUAUGGCCAUACCGUCCUGAAUACUCCCGAUCUCGUCUGAUCUUGGAAGCUAAGCAGGGUCGGGCCUGGUUAGUACUUGGAUGGGAGACCGCCUGGGAAUACCAGGUGCUGUAAGGG